This 601-nucleotide ribosomal RNA is filed under the name uncultured bacterium. RNAcentral describes it as "bacterial SSU rRNA". It matches the Rfam family "Bacterial small subunit ribosomal RNA", at positions 8 to 619 of the family's 1533-position model. The record is from RNAcentral.
AGAGUUUGAUCAUGGCUCAGGAUGAACGCUGGCGGCGUGCCUAAUACAUGUAAGUCGAACGAGGUGCUUUUGUAGCAAUACGAGAGUAUCCUAGUGGCGAACGGGUGAGUAACGCGUUGGUGACCUGCCCCAAAGUGUGGGAUAACAGUCCGAAAGGACUGCUAAUACCGCAUGUGGUCAUUGGAUUUAGAAACCAAUGACUAAAGGAGCAAUUCGCUUUGGGAGGGACCUGCGUCCCAUCAGCUAGUUGGUAGGGUAACGGCCUACCAAGGCGACGACGGGUAGGGGACCUGAGAGGGUGGCCCCCCACAAUGGAACUGAAACACGGUCCAUACACCUACGGGUGGCAGCAGUAGGGAAUAUUGCACAAUGGGCGAAAGCCUGAUGCAGCAACGCCGCGUGUGUGAUGAAGGCCUUCGGGUCGUAAAGCACUUUUCUGGGAGAUGAGAAAGGACAGUAUCCCAGGAAUAAGUCUCGGCUAACUACGUGCCAGCAGCCGCGGUAAAACGUAGGAGGCAAGCGUUAUCCGGAUUCACUGGGCGUAAAGCGCGUGCAGGCGGUGUGGUAAGUUGGGCGUGAAAUCUCCCGGCUCAACUGGGAG